This 249-nucleotide ribosomal RNA is filed under the name uncultured bacterium. Its description in RNAcentral is "partial 16S ribosomal RNA". It matches the Rfam family "Bacterial small subunit ribosomal RNA", at positions 524 to 771 of the family's 1533-position model. The record is from RNAcentral.
UACGAAGGGGGCUAGCGUUGUUCGGAUUUACUGGGCGUAAAGCGCACGUAGGCGGAUCGUUAAGUCGGGGGUGAAAUCCUGGAGCUCAACUCCAGAACUGCCUUCGAUACUGGCGAUCUUGAGUCCGGAAGAGGUGAGUGGAACUCCUAGUGUAGAGGUGGAAUUCGUAGAUAUUCGCAAGAACACCAGUGGCGAAGGCGGCCAACUGGUCCGGUACUGACGCUGAGGUGCGAAAGCGAUGGGGAGCAA